GACCCCGCACAAGCGGUGGAUCAUGUUGUUUAAUUCGAAGAUACGCGAAAAACCUUACCAGGUCUUGACAUCCCUUGCAAUGCUGUAGAGAUACAGUGGAGGUUAUCAAGGAGACAGGUGGUGCAUGGUUGUCGUCAGCUCGUGUCGUGAGAUGUUGGGUUAAGUCCCGCAACGAGCGCAACCCUUAUUGCUAGUUGCCAUCAUUUAGUUGGGGACUCUAGCGAGACUGCCAGUGAUAAACUGGAGGAAGGUGGGGAUGACGUCAAAUCAUCAUGCCCCUUAUGACCUGGGCUACAAACGUGAUACAAUGGCUAUUACAGAGGGCCGCAAAGCUGUGAAGUGAAGCUAUAAAACCGGUCACAGUUCGGAUCGGAGUCUGCAACUCGACUCCGUG
This 394-nucleotide ribosomal RNA is filed under the name uncultured bacterium. RNAcentral describes it as "bacterial SSU rRNA". It matches the Rfam family "Bacterial small subunit ribosomal RNA", at positions 920 to 1322 of the family's 1533-position model. The record is from RNAcentral.